This 248-nucleotide ribosomal RNA is filed under the name uncultured bacterium. RNAcentral's name for it is "partial 16S ribosomal RNA". It matches the Rfam family "Bacterial small subunit ribosomal RNA", at positions 15 to 240 of the family's 1533-position model. The record is from RNAcentral.
GAUCAUGGCUCAGGACCGAACGCUGGCGGCGUGCCUAACACAUGCAAGUCGAACGGAACUGUUUUGUAAAGAUUUCUUCGGAAUGAAUUUGAUUUAGUUUUAGUGGCGGACGGGUGAGUAACGCGUGAGUAACCUGCCUUCAAGAGGGGGAUAACAUUCUGAAAAGAAUGCUAAUACCGCAUGAUAUAUCGGAACCACAUGGUUUUGAUAUCAAAGAUUUUAUCGCUUGAAGAUGGACUCGCGUCCGA